This 553-nucleotide ribosomal RNA is filed under the name Hanseniaspora uvarum. Its description in RNAcentral is "partial large subunit ribosomal RNA". It matches the Rfam family "Eukaryotic large subunit ribosomal RNA", at positions 83 to 651 of the family's 3401-position model. Lineage: Eukaryota; Fungi; Ascomycota; Saccharomycetes; Saccharomycodales; Saccharomycodaceae. The record is from RNAcentral.
GUACGGCGAGUGAAGCGGUAAAAGCUCAAAUUUGAAAUCUGGUACUUUCAGUGCCCGAGUUGUAAUUUGUAGAAUUUGUCUUUGAUUAGGUCCUUGUCUAUGUUCCUUGGAACAGGACGUCAUAGAGGGUGAGAAUCCCGUUUGGCGAGGAUACCUUUUCUCUGUAAGACUUUUUCGAAGAGUCGAGUUGUUUGGGAAUGCAGCUCAAAGUGGGUGGUAAAUUCCAUCUAAAGCUAAAUAUUGGCGAGAGACCGAUAGCGAACAAGUACAGUGAUGGAAAGAUGAAAAGAACUUUGAAAAGAGAGUGAAAAAGUACGUGAAAUUGUUGAAAGGGAAGGGCAUUUGAUCAGACAUGGUGUUUUUUGCAUGCACUCGCCUCUCGUGGGCUUGGGCCUCUCAAAAAUUUCACUGGGCCAACAUCAAUUCUGGCAGCAGGAUAAAUCAUUAAGAAUGUAGCUACUUCGGUAGUGUUAUAGCUUUUUGGAAUACUGUUAGCCGGGAUUGAGGACUGCGCUUCGGCAAGGAUGUUGGCAUAAUGGUUAAAUGCCGCCCG